CCUACGGGAGGCAGCAGUGAGGGAUAUUGCGCAAUGGGCGAAAGCCUGACGCAGCAACGCCGCUGUGGGGGAAGAAGGCCUUCGGGUUGUAAACCCCUUUUCUGAGGGAAGAGGAAGGACGGUACCUCAGGAAUA
This 135-nucleotide ribosomal RNA is filed under the name uncultured bacterium. Its description in RNAcentral is "partial 16S ribosomal RNA". It matches the Rfam family "Bacterial small subunit ribosomal RNA", at positions 338 to 488 of the family's 1533-position model. The record is from RNAcentral.